UGCCAGUGACGUGAGAAAGUUUAACAGCUGAUUACAAACAGGUGCUGAUGCCAGGUCAUUAUUCCAUUAUUUUGUCAAGAUCGUUGUUUUCGUCAGAAACUGUGGAUUUAGGCGAACAGGACUGGCUAGCUCGGGCCGCUGAUUGCCGACCUUCAAACUCGAGCCACAGUUUGACAAGGUCAGCCUGGAAUCAAUCAGUGCAAGUGUAAUCACAAGUCAGCGCUUGUGAUGAAGACCUCUGUGACGAAGGUGCAGGCCUCUGGUGGUUGGCUGACGCUGGAGAGCGCUGAGAGUGCCGGGCUCAUUCUGCGUCGUGCGCUGUGACAGACAGAGUGACUCAGCGCUUUAUGGAAACGCCUUUUUCAGGAGCGGAAGUGUUUGUUCUCUCUCGGUCAUUCCUGGGGGGGGGCAGUGAAACACGCAACGUUUAGGCAAUGUGGGAAUUCGACAUGUGGAACCCGCAGCCAAUGCCGCCCCCCCGCACAUGGAAUCUGUGCGCUUUAACACCCCCCCCCCCCGGUGUGGGUGCUGGUAUCGCAGGGAUUAGUUUCUCCGGGGAGGCACUGCUCAGCUGUGGAAUCGCAUGGCGAUCAUAACUUCCCAUCCAUACUGACCGCCCUCUUUUCCGAUUGGAUCUCGUUUUGUGCCCUUCGUCCUCAUUGGGCAGCUUCAGAAAUACAGGGAGUCUUGGGUUUUGUUCUGUUUGUUGAGAAAUGUGCGGAGUCCUUGGGUUCUGUGUGCGGUUGCACCAGCUUUUCCUACGUUCUCCCAUAAGCUGGAACAUAAAGCUCACACUACAGUCUCAGUAGCUACUAGUUAGUUUACGACCUAGUAGCUACUAAACUUUUUUGUAACGUUUCCUUAACACAAAACUUAGUUACUAGGCUCUUUGUAAAGUAAUGUCCAGUCGCACUUGAUUAUGUCGAUGUUGAUUGAUCGAAUACCUGAAUGGACGUACUCUAACUGCUUCCUUCUUUUGCCAAAGUUGCAGCCACCAUAGACUGCAAUGGAGAGAUCGAGUGCCAUUUUCUAGCAAACAAAAGGGCUUAGUCAUAUUUUCAAGUCAUGCCAAGUUCAAUUUCCGGCAGUUCUUCAAAAUGGGGAGAGAAAAAAGAAUUCCAAAAGCGUAUGAAUCCAGUGAUCUAUAGAAGGUGCUCUUUGGAAGGGAUCUGUUCAAUUGGUUGAUAAUAUGAAAAAAAAAAAAUCUUCUUUAGUAUAAAUUUUUAAGAUGCCUUCAUUAAUACCGCAUGUCCACAGAGUUUAUAACAAGAUUAUUUUAAAAGCAUUUUCUACCUACAGGUUUUGGCUUAUUUAGCCUUUUUUCUUGCUUUCAACUAAUUCUUCAGUUCUGAAUGUCGCCCUUUGUCCAAGUUCAGUACAGAGCCUGAACACGUCCAGCACUGUAACACUGAAGAUGUUCAGAGGGCGGGAACUCACAUUGACCUGAUUCUUCCGUGCUCGUGUUAGAACUGACGAUGAUUUCCAGUGCACUCGAACGCUCAUGGCCACAUGGUGCUGUGUGUCAUUUACUCUGCAUUUCCCUGGGUGCUCAGAUCAACAGCAUACACAGAUGCCCAAAACACACACAGCAGAUGUAACACAACCGUAGCUCAGUGUGUAACAGUUGUAAUAGACACACAUCAUAGAUCUAGAAAAACAAAUGCUGUGCAGGGUGAUUUAUCAUAGGGGUCGAGACCAACCACGUGAUUAGGACAUGUCCUUCACCCGUUCUGCCCUCAGAUACCUGCUCCCCCUCCUCCUGCUUUUGGAGAAUAAAUUUAUCCAGAAAAGACAUUGUUGUGUUUAACAGAUAACAUUUUUUCUAAUACUUUAGUUAGAUGUAUGUUUAUUGAAGAACUCAAAAAGCAGUCAAGCAUAUUGGAUGGGCACCUAAAUUAUUUAGUGGGCGGGUUGACUGCGCUUCACAGAGCAAACAUGGCUGUGCCUCCAGAACUACAAACAUGGCUGUGCUUCCAGCAGUACAAACAUGGCUGUGCUUCCAGCACUACAAGUGAAGAGGAAUCAGCCUGUGGGAGCCUCUCUCAGCGUCUGCUGCCUCCAGACGGCUCCUGCUAGCUGCAGAUGCCUGCUCGUGUGUCAGAGUGGCGG
Long non-coding RNA from Anguilla rostrata (American eel), 2109 nucleotides. RefSeq lists it as uncharacterized. The record is from RefSeq and is a predicted model, not a curated record. The transcript is spliced from 3 exons. NCBI's taxonomy places the organism in Eukaryota, Metazoa, Chordata, Actinopteri, Anguilliformes, Anguillidae.